GGUGGAAAGCUCCGGCGGUGCAGGAUGAGCCCGCGGCCUAUCAGCUUGUUGGUGAGGUAGUGGCUCACCAAGGCGACGACGGGUAGCCGGCCUGAGAGGGCGACCGGCCACACUGGGACUGAGACACGGCCCAGACUCCUACGGGAGGCAGCAGUGGGGAAUAUUGCACAAUGGGCGAAAGCCUGAUGCAGCGACGCCGCGUGAGGGAUGACGGCCUUCGGGUUGUAAACCUCUUUCAGCAGGGAAGAAGCGAAAGUGACGGUACCUGCAGAAGAAGCGCCGGCUAACUACGUGCCAGCAGCCGCGGUAAUACGUAGGGCGCAAGCGUUGUCCGGAAUUAUUGGGCGUAAAGAGCUCGUAGGCGGCUUGUCGCGUCGGUUGUGAAAGCCCGGGGCUUAACCCCGGGUCUGCAGUCGAUACGGGCAGGCUAGAGUUCGGUAGGGGAGAUCGGAAUUCCUGGUGUAGCGGUGAAAUGCGCAGAUAUCAGGAGGAACACCGGUGGCGAAGGCGGAUCUCUGGGCCGAUACUGACGCUGAGGAGCGAAAGCGUGGGGAGCGAACAGGAUUAGAUACCCUGGUAGUCCACGCCG
Molecule: ribosomal RNA, 589 nt
Filed under: Streptomyces sp.
Lineage: Bacteria; Bacillati; Actinomycetota; Actinomycetes; Kitasatosporales; Streptomycetaceae
Description: bacterial SSU rRNA
Rfam family: Bacterial small subunit ribosomal RNA
Source: RNAcentral